Molecule: microRNA precursor, 70 nt
Organism: Aotus nancymaae (Ma's night monkey)
Lineage: Eukaryota; Metazoa; Chordata; Mammalia; Primates; Aotidae
Source: Ensembl
GUUGUUGUAAACAUCCCCGACUGGAAGCUGUAAGAUACAACUAAGCUUUCAGUCAGAUGUUUGCUGCUAC